RNAcentral lists this ribosomal RNA (468 nucleotides) under uncultured bacterium. RNAcentral's name for it is "partial 16S ribosomal RNA". It matches the Rfam family "Bacterial small subunit ribosomal RNA", at positions 28 to 507 of the family's 1533-position model. The record is from RNAcentral.
GACGAACGCUGGCGGCGUGCCUAACACAUGCAAGUCGAACGGAAAGGCCCUGCGUUUGUGGGGUUCUCGAGUGGCGAACGGGUGAGUAACACGUGAGUAACCUGCCCCUGACUUUCGGAUAACUUCAGGAAACUCGGGCUAAUACCCGGUAGGAGCUCCUGCUGCAUGGUGGGGGUUGGAAAGUUUCGGCUGUUGGGGAUGGACUCGCUGCUUAUCCGCUUGUUUGUGGGGUAGUUGCUUACCAAGGCUUUGACGGGUAGCCGGCCUGAGAGGGGGACCGGCCACAUGGGGACUGAGAGACGGCGCAGAAGGCUACGGGACGCAGUAGUGGGGAGUCUUGCACAAUGGGCGGAAGCGUGAUGCAGAAACGCUGGGUGCGGGAUGCUGGCUUUCGGGUGGUAAACCGAUGUCGACGGUGCCGAAGCGUUAGUGACGGUAAUUAGUCAGGAAGCACCGGCUAACUACGUG